RNAcentral lists this ribosomal RNA (440 nucleotides) under uncultured bacterium. Its description in RNAcentral is "partial 16S ribosomal RNA". It matches the Rfam family "Bacterial small subunit ribosomal RNA", at positions 338 to 795 of the family's 1533-position model. The record is from RNAcentral.
CCUACGGGCGGCAGCAGUAGGGAAUAUUGCACAAUGGGGGCAACCCUGAAGCAGCAACGCCGCGUGGAGGAUGAAGGUUUUCGGAUUGUAAACUACUUUUGUUAGAGAAGAUAAUGACGGUAUCUAACGAAUAAGCACCGGCGAACUCCGUGCCAGCAGCCGCGGUAAUACGGAGGGUGCAAGCGUUCCUCGGAAUCACUGGGCGUAAAGAGCGCGUAGGCGGGAUAGCAAGUCAGAUGUGAAAUCCCAUGGCUUAACCAUAGAACUGCAUUUGAAACUGGUAUUCUUGAGUAUGGGAGAGGGAGGUAGAAUUCUUGGUGUAGGGGUAAAAUCCGUAGAGAUCAAGAGGAAUACUCAUUGCGAAGGCGACCUGCUAGAACAUAACUGACGCUGAUGCGCGAAAGCGUGGGGAGCAAACAGGAUUAGAUACCCGAGUAGUC